RNAcentral lists this ribosomal RNA (1435 nucleotides) under metagenome. Its description in RNAcentral is "bacterial LSU rRNA". It matches the Rfam family "Bacterial large subunit ribosomal RNA", at positions 1512 to 2925 of the family's 2925-position model. The record is from RNAcentral.
AAAAGUGCGUAGGUGGUGUUUCUAGGCAAAUCCGGAGACACAACACUGAGACACGAGACGAAGCCACUACGGUGGUGAAGCCAUUGAUGCCCUGCUUCCAGGAAAAGCCUCUAAGCUUCAGAUUACAAGUCAUCGUACCCCAAACCGACACAGGUGGUCGGGUAGAGAAUACCAAGGCGCUUGAGAGAACUCGGGUGAAGGAACUAGGCAAAAUAGAACCGUAACUUCGGGAGAAGGUUCGCUCUUGACAGUGAAGUCCCUUGCGGAUGGAGCAGUUGGGAGUCGCAGUGACCAGAUGGCUGGGACUGUUUAUCAAAAACACAGCACUCUGCAAACACGAAAGUGGACGUAUAGGGUGUGACACCUGCCCGGUGCCGGAAGGUUAAUUGAUGGGGUUAGCGCAAGCGAAGCUCUUGAUCGAAGCCCCGGUAAACGGCGGCCGUAACAAUAACGGUCCUAAGGUAGCGAAAUUCCUUGUCGGGUAAGUUCCGACCUGCACGAAUGGUGUAACCAUGGCCAUGCUGUCUCCACCCGAGACUCAGUGAAAUCGAAUUCGCCGUGAAGAUGCGGUGUACCCGCGGCUAGACGGAAAGACCCCGUGAACCUUUACUACAGCUUGGCACUGAACAUUGAACCUACAUGUGUAGGAUAGGUGGGAGGCUUUGAAGGCGUGACGCCAGUUGCGCUGGAGCCGUCCUUGAAAUACCACCCUUGUAUGUUUGAUGUUCUAACGCAGGGCCCUGAAUCGGGCUCGCGGACAGUGCCUGGUGGGUAGUUUGACUGGGGCGGUCUCCUCCCAAAGAGUAACGGAGGAGCACGAAGGUUGGCUAAUCCUGGUCGGACAUCAGGAGGUUAGUGCAAUGGCAUAAGCCAGCUUAACUGCGAGACGGACAGGUCGAGCAGGUACGAAAGUAGGUCAUAGUGAUCCGGUGGUUCUGAAUGGAAGGGCCAUCGCUCAACGGAUAAAAGGUACUCCGGGGAUAACAGGCUGAUACCGCCCAAGAGUUCAUAUCGACGGCGGUGUUUGGCACCUCGAUGUCGGCUCAUCACAUCCUGGGGCUGAAGUCGGUCCCAAGGGUAUGGCUGUUCGCCAUUUAAAGUGGUACGCGAGCUGGGUUCAGAACGUCGUGAGACAGUUCGGUCCCUAUCUGCCGUGGGCGUUGGAUGAUUGAAGGGAGUUGCUCCUAGUACGAGAGGACCGGAGUGAACGAACCUCUGGUGUUCGGGUUGUCACGCCAGUGGCACUGCCCGGUAGCUAAGUUCGGAAUCGAUAACCGCUGAAAGCAUCUAAGCGGGAAGCGAGCCCUGAGAUGAGUCAUCCCUGACCCCUUGAGGGUCCUAAAGGGCCGUUGGAGACCACAACGUUGAUAGGUGGGGUGUGUAAGCGCAGUGAUGUGUUGAGCUAACCCAUACUAAUUACCCGUGAGGCUUAACC